Molecule: long non-coding RNA, 230 nt
Filed under: Mytilus galloprovincialis (Mediterranean mussel)
Lineage: Eukaryota; Metazoa; Mollusca; Bivalvia; Mytilida; Mytilidae
Source: RNAcentral
AAAAAUAUCUACCAGUGAUUUCUUCAUAAAAAUUUCAAGAAGGAAAGUGCCAUGUGUACGUUUCAAAAUAAAGCAAAAAAAAAGUGUAUGUCACCGACCUUUCAAAAAAGUUAUGAGUAAUUUUCAUGUUUUUUUCUCGCUCGUUUUGAAGAAAAGAGUUGUCUUUCUUCAGAACAUUGCAUCUGACGUCAUAGUGCAAACUUUUUAAGCUGGCGCACUAUUUGAAAAAA